RNAcentral lists this ribosomal RNA (253 nucleotides) under uncultured bacterium. Its description in RNAcentral is "partial 16S ribosomal RNA". It matches the Rfam family "Bacterial small subunit ribosomal RNA", at positions 524 to 776 of the family's 1533-position model. The record is from RNAcentral.
UACGUAGGGGGCAAGCGUUAUCCGGAUUCACUGGGUGUAAAGGGAGCGUAGACGGCCAUGCAAGCCUGGAGUGAAAGCCCGGGGCCCAACCCCGGGACUGCUCUGGGAACUGUGCGGCUGGAGUGCGGGAGGGGCAGGCGGAAUUCCUGGUGUAGCGGUGAAAUGCGUAGUUAUCAGGAGGAACACCGGCGGCGAAGGCGGCCUGCUGGACCGCGACUGACGUUGAGGCUCGAAAGCGUGGGGAGCAAACAGG